UCACAAUGUUAAAAUUCCCCGGCAUUUCCAUGUUUUCCAUGACAAUGGGAUCCCUGUUAAAUAAUUCUGGCCUGAUUCCCGGAACAACAUUUUCAUCCUCCCUACAAUCCCGUGCAGUCAGAUCUGACUCUCUUCUAGUAUUCUGGUCAUCGUCCACUUUCACUAAAUGGAAAAGAGCAGCUUGGACAUUCUGCCCAAAUCUUCAGUGUUUCAAGGAAGAAUGAAGUAAUACCAGAUCAGAACAUCAUUAUGUCGUUGCAUUUAAAAAAGGCCUCAUACAUUCAGGAAGGAGGAAAACAACACACACACUUGAACAUUACUGCGGAAGAAGAGACCUAAUAAUUCAAUCUUCAGUUCUUACAUCUAACUCAUCAUCCGCUUUCUGUUUGCUAAUAUUUAUUGUUUUGUCUUGCUACAUGAGAUUCUUACACUCUAGUGGGAAAUAUAGAUUAAUGUAUAUAAUAUACUGUACUGUAUAUCUACAGU
Molecule: long non-coding RNA, 486 nt
Organism: Labeo rohita (rohu)
Lineage: Eukaryota; Metazoa; Chordata; Actinopteri; Cypriniformes; Cyprinidae
Exons: 3
Source: RefSeq, a predicted model, not a curated record